Molecule: ribosomal RNA, 301 nt
Filed under: uncultured bacterium
Lineage: Bacteria
Description: partial 16S ribosomal RNA
Rfam family: Bacterial small subunit ribosomal RNA
Source: RNAcentral
CAGCAGCCGCGGUAAUACAGAGGGUGCGAGCGUUAAUCGGAUUUACUGGGCGUAAAGCGUGCGUAGGCGGCUUCUUAAGUCGGAUGUGAAAUCCCUGAGCUUAACUUAGGAAUUGCAUUCGAUACUGGGAAGCUAGAGUAUGGGAGAGGAUGGUAGAAUUCCAGGUGUAGCGGUGAAAUGCGUAGAGAUCUGGAGGAAUACCGAUGGCGAAGGCAGCCAUCUGGCCUAAUACUGACGCUGAGGUACGAAAGCAUGGGGAGCAAACAGGAUUAGAUACCCGGGUAGCUGUCUCUUAUACACU